AACGCACGAGACCUGCGGACCUGCGGAAGGAUCAUUACAGAGUUCGUGCCCUCUGGGUAGAUCUCCCACCCACUGUUUUCCUUACGACCGUUGCUUUGGCGGGCCGCCGGCCCUGCCCGGCCGCCGGCGCCCAGCUGGCGCGCGCCCGCCAGAGGCCCUCCAGACUCUGAAUGUUAGCGUCGUCUGAGUACCACAUAAUAAGUUAAAACUUUUAGCAAUGGAUCUCUAGAUCGGAAGAGC
This 240-nucleotide unclassified non-coding RNA is filed under the name soil metagenome. Its description in RNAcentral is "partial contains 5.8S ribosomal RNA, internal transcribed spacer 2, and large subunit ribosomal RNA". The record is from RNAcentral.